GUGAGUAUAGCUCAGUGGUAGAGCACAUGCUUAGCGUGCAUGAGGUCCUGGGUUCAAUCCCCAGUGCCUCCA
This 72-nucleotide transfer RNA is filed under the name Camelus bactrianus (Bactrian camel). It matches the Rfam family "tRNA". Rfam says of the family: Transfer RNA (tRNA) molecules are approximately 80 nucleotides in length. Lineage: Eukaryota; Metazoa; Chordata; Mammalia; Artiodactyla; Camelidae. The record is from Rfam by way of RNAcentral. RNAcentral also lists the same sequence under 1 other name.